GUCCGGGAGCUAUGCAAAAAGAGUCUUUCGAACCCCGUCAGAUUCGGAAGAAAGCAGCGGUAGAUUGAUUUAUUUUGUGCCGUAGUUAUCCCGGGCUUU
RNAcentral lists this signal recognition particle RNA (99 nucleotides) under Treponema sp. Its description in RNAcentral is "signal recognition particle sRNA small type". It matches the Rfam family "Bacterial small signal recognition particle RNA". From Rfam's summary of the family: The signal recognition particle (SRP) is a universally conserved ribonucleoprotein involved in the co-translational targeting of proteins to membranes. Archaeal SRP consists of a 7S RNA and homologues of the eukaryotic SRP19 and SRP54 proteins. In most bacteria, the SRP consists of a 4.5S RNA and the Ffh protein (a homologue of the eukaryotic SRP54 protein). The record is from RNAcentral. Lineage: Bacteria; Pseudomonadati; Spirochaetota; Spirochaetia; Treponematales; Treponemataceae.